RNAcentral lists this ribosomal RNA (627 nucleotides) under Triticum aestivum (bread wheat). Its description in RNAcentral is "partial small subunit ribosomal RNA". Lineage: Eukaryota; Viridiplantae; Streptophyta; Magnoliopsida; Poales; Poaceae. The record is from RNAcentral.
AUGUGGUCGAUCCAGGCAGCGAUCGCUAGGCACCAAGCCGGUCUCACCGCGAGCGAGCUCGUCGUCAUGGAGGAGAGCACUGGUCAGGCCGCGGCGGCGGCCAGCGACGCGGCGCCUGGGGCCGGAGGCGCGGAGGCCGCGGGCGGGAUGAAGGUGGUGGUGGCGGUGGACGCGAGCGAGGAGAGCCUGCACGCGCUGUCGUGGGCGCUCGACAACGUCGUCCGCCUCCACCCCGGCGCGUCCGUCGCCGUCGUCCACGCCCAGCACAGCGUCGACCACUUCGUCUACCCCGUCGCCGCCCACGCAGGCCUGGCCUACGCCCCGCCGACGGCGUUGGACUCCAUGCGGAGGGCGCAGGAGGAGAACUCCCGGAGGGCGGUGGCCCGCGCGCUGGACGUGUGCAGGCAGAAGCAGGCGAGCGCCACGGCGGCGGUGGUGGAGGGCGACCCCAAGGAGGCCAUCUGCGAGGCCGUGGAGGAGAUGCGCGCCGACCUGCUCGUCCUCGGCAGCCGCGGCCUCGGCAUGGUCAAGAGGGCGUUGCUGGGCAGCGUGAGCGACUACCUCGCCCAUCACGCGUGCUGCCCCGUCCUCAUCGUCAAGCCGCCCAACAAGGCGCACCACAAGUGA